CCACCUCCCCUGCAAACGUCCAGUGACGCAGAGGUAAUGGACGUUGGCUCUGGUGGUGAUG
RNAcentral lists this microRNA precursor (61 nucleotides) under Xenopus laevis (African clawed frog). RNAcentral's name for it is "Xla-Mir-1306-P1b_pre stem-loop". It matches the Rfam family "mir-1306 microRNA precursor family", at positions 9 to 68 of the family's 72-position model. Lineage: Eukaryota; Metazoa; Chordata; Amphibia; Anura; Pipidae. RNAcentral also lists the same sequence under 10 other names. The record is from RNAcentral.